UGAGGAACAUGACCUUCGGCGGGGGAUCGCCGGCCCAACGGCCGGGUAAUACCGCGUACGACCACUCGGGGACAUCCCCAGGUGGUGAAAGCAGCAAUGCGCCGAUGGAGUGCCUCGCGGCCUAUCAGCUAGUUGGUGAGGUCAUGGCUCACCAAGGCGACGACGGGUAGCUGGCCUGAGAGGGCGACCGGCCACACUGGGACUGAGAUACGGCCCAGACUCCGUACGGGAGCAG
Molecule: ribosomal RNA, 235 nt
Filed under: uncultured bacterium
Lineage: Bacteria
Description: partial 16S ribosomal RNA
Rfam family: Bacterial small subunit ribosomal RNA
Source: RNAcentral